Molecule: ribosomal RNA, 253 nt
Filed under: uncultured bacterium
Lineage: Bacteria
Description: partial 16S ribosomal RNA
Rfam family: Bacterial small subunit ribosomal RNA
Source: RNAcentral
GACAGAGGUGCCGAGCGUUAGGCGGAAUCACUGGGCUUAAAGCGUGUGUAGGCGGGCCGUUAAGUACCUUGUGAAAUCCCCCGGCUCAACCGGGGAAUGGCUGGGUAUACUGGCGGUCUUGAGCGAUCUAGGGGCAGAUGGAACAAGUGGUGGAGCGGUGAAAUGCGUAGAUAUCACUUGGAACGCCAAAGGUGAAGACAGUCUGCUGGGGAUCUGCUGACGCUGAGACACGAAAGCCAGGGGAGCGAACGGG